Molecule: long non-coding RNA, 211 nt
Filed under: Mytilus galloprovincialis (Mediterranean mussel)
Lineage: Eukaryota; Metazoa; Mollusca; Bivalvia; Mytilida; Mytilidae
Source: RNAcentral
GACUUGAACUAGAAAAUGAUAUCACAAAACGUUAAAAAAUGUAUGUAUUAUUAGGGUUUUAUUUAAGAUCCCACAAUUUGCUGAACAUUGAAAAUCGAAUGUUCUAGCAAACGGGACAAGGUUUCCUUGUGCACACCUAUCAUUCUUAUAUAGUGAAUUGUUAAUUAAAAAGACAAAGUCGCGAAGAAAUAAAACUAUUUAUCUAACAAGC